CCUACGGGUGGCAGCAGUGAGGAAUAUUGGUCAAUGGGCGAGAGCCUGAACCAGCCAAGUAGCGUGCAGGAUGACGGCCCUACGGGUUGUAAACUUCUUUUGUACGGGAAUAACGCGCCUUACGUGUAGGGCUUUGCAUAUCCCGUAUGAAUAAGUACCGGCUAAUUCCGUGCCCGCAGCCGCGGUAAUACGGAAGGUGCGGGCGUUAUCCGGAUUUCUUGGGGUUAAAGGGAGCGUAGGGCGGUUGUUAAGCGUGCUGGGAAAUGUUCGGGCGCAAGCCGGGCCUUGCAGGGGGAACUGGAGUGCUUGAGUUGGCGGAAAGGAGGCGGAAUGCGUGGUGUAGCGGGGAAA
RNAcentral lists this ribosomal RNA (351 nucleotides) under uncultured bacterium. RNAcentral's name for it is "partial 16S ribosomal RNA". It matches the Rfam family "Bacterial small subunit ribosomal RNA", at positions 338 to 686 of the family's 1533-position model. The record is from RNAcentral.